GUACGGUCACUUGGCAGCUGGACUCCGUUGGGUAAACUCGCAACGGUAUACGUGCAUGGUGCUGUCGAACUUUUAUAAGGCGUAGAAGCAUUGCUGCAAACACGUUUUAUGAGGUUUGGGCUGAAGAACGCUUUGUAAGUAGCCCAUCAAGAAGCUCUGGAAAGCAACGUUCAGUUCACGGCCAGGAAUCCGACGCCAAACCAUGCAUUUAUUAUAUUAAAACUGAAUAAACACCUUUGUAAUUACUUGUUGUUUGUUUUGAUAUUAUGUGAUGAUGAUUAAGAUAUUAUAAUAAUAAGUGGAAAGGAGUAGUAAGAUUGUAUGAAUUAGUCAUAAGCAGUGAUAAGUAUUUAGACAUUUUCACAUUUGAUAUGCUAUGAUCAAUAUAUAUUGUCUUUGCAAUUGACAAAUUCCUACAAUAUUUGAAUCUGAAAAUGGUCUAAAAGCUUUAAAAACAAACCCAGUAUUUUGUAAAUGAUAGAAAAUGAACAUUAAAUGGAAGUGACAUUCUGAAAGAAUAUAUUUACAAGAUUUUUCCAACAAUUCCAAUUUACUUGCCUUUUGGAAAUUUGUUCUACGUUUUGUACAAGAUUGUUUUUAAAUUCCUUGGAACAAAUUCAUUCCCAGAAAAUAUUUUCCACUUGUCUUAGUAAAGUACAGGCCUUGUGGAUACUGGGUUUUGUAUCACAAAUUGAUUAAUGUUGAAUUUUUCAACUCAAAAAUUAAACAUUUAAAAUUAGAAAGUGGUUAAAGACAACAUUCAAGAUAUGCCAAAAAUUUGAAUUUCCCCCAACUUGUCACCCCUAAAGAUAGAAUGGAAUCGCCCAACCUGUCACCCCUGUCAACAGAAUGAACUCAUCCAACCUGUCACCCCUCAAAAAUAAUGGAAUCGUCCAACCUGUCACCCCUCAAAUGGAAUGGAAUCG
Long non-coding RNA from Lingula anatina, 926 nucleotides. NCBI's taxonomy places the organism in Eukaryota, Metazoa, Brachiopoda, Lingulata, Lingulida, Lingulidae. The record is from RefSeq and is a predicted model, not a curated record.